AUAGCCUAACGGCUGAACCAGCAACUUGGAGGAAUGUAUAGCAAUAGCUAUUUGCACUAAAGAUUUUAGUGUAAAAUCGACUUUGUUGAAUAAAAUUCUGGAUAGAAUUAUGAUAAUGACAUUAUCUGUCCAUAAGUCUUGACCAAAUUACGUGCCAGCAGUCGCGGUAAUACGUAGAAGACAAGUGUUAUUCAUCUUUAAUAGGUUUAAAGGGUACUUAGACGGUAAAUAAAGCCUCCAAAAGGUACUAGUUUGCUAGAGUUUUAUGUGAAGGAGUUUUAAAGUACUACUGGUGUAGAGAUGAAAUUCAGUUAUACCUUACAUGGCACAGGUUAAGGCGAAAGCAUCUUCUUAUGUAAAAACUGACGUUGAAGGACGAAGGCUUUGUGUCUCGAACAGGAUUAGAUACCCUAGUAGUCUAAGCAGAAAAUGAUGAAUGUCAUAGAUUAGAUUUAAUUUGAUCUGUAAAUGAAAGUGUAAGCAUUCCACCUCAAGAGUAAUUUGGCAACAUUGGAACUGAAAUCAUUAGACCGUUUCUGAAACCAGUAGUGAAGUAUGUUGUUUAAUUUGAUAAUCCACAAAAAACCUUACCACAAUAAUUUGAAUAGAUAUAUUUUAUCAUACAAGCGUUGCACGGCUGUCUUCAGUUAAUGUCGUGAGACUUUGGUUAGUUCCAUUAAAUUAACGUAAACCCUUACUUUAUUUUUAAAAAAAGUAGUUCACCGCUAGAUUGGAUGUGAUAAUAGGGAUCAAGACAAGUCAUCAUGACCUGAAUAUAGU
Molecule: ribosomal RNA, 780 nt
Filed under: Gallowayella poeltii
Lineage: Eukaryota; Fungi; Ascomycota; Lecanoromycetes; Teloschistales; Teloschistaceae
Description: mitochondrial SSU rRNA
Rfam family: Bacterial small subunit ribosomal RNA
Source: RNAcentral